Molecule: long non-coding RNA, 207 nt
Filed under: Ictidomys tridecemlineatus (thirteen-lined ground squirrel)
Lineage: Eukaryota; Metazoa; Chordata; Mammalia; Rodentia; Sciuridae
Description: lncRNA (ENSSTOG00000033081.1)
Source: RNAcentral
CAUUAUGAGAACGCUGCGCGGAGCAUCCUCAGGCGUGGACUGUUGGACCAGACCCGGAACUUUCCCGGGCUGGGAUCCAUCUGGAAUCUGUUCCGCCCCCCACCCAAGGAAUGAAAUAGGAGACAACUUGGGUUUUCCUCCAUCUAUGGGCCAGGCUCGUCGACGCCCUUCCCAGAGAGCCUACCCUUUCUCUAAAGCCUCGUGAAG